Molecule: ribosomal RNA, 274 nt
Filed under: uncultured bacterium
Lineage: Bacteria
Description: partial 16S ribosomal RNA
Rfam family: Bacterial small subunit ribosomal RNA
Source: RNAcentral
AUACGGAGGGUGCAAGCGUUAAUCGGAAUUACUGGGCGUAAAGCGCGCGUAGGCGGUUUGGUAAGUCGGAUGUGAAAGCCCCGGGCUCAACCUGGGAAUUGCAUUCGAUACUGUCAGGCUAGAGUAUGGUAGAGGGAAGCGGAAUUCCAGGUGUAGCGGUGAAAUGCGUAGAUAUCUGGAGGAACAUCAGUGGCGAAGGCGGCUUCCUGGAUCAAUACUGACGCUGAGGUGCGAAAGCGUGGGGAGCAAACAGGAUUAGAAACCCCAGUAGUCC